CCUACGGGUGGCUGCAGUGAGGAAUAUUGGUCAAUGGACGAAAGUCUGAACCAGCCAUGCCGCGUGCAGGAUGACGGCUCUAUGAGUUGUAAACUGCUUUUGGAUGAGGGUAAACAACCAUAAGUGUAGGGGCUAGAAAGUAUAAUACGAAUAAGGAUCGGCUAACUCCGUGCCAGCAGCCGCGGUAAUACGGAGGAUCCAAGCGUUAUCCGGAUUUAUUGUGUUUAAAGGGUGCGUAGGCGGUUUGAUAAGUUAGAGGUGAAAUACCGGUGCUCAACAACGUAACUGCCUCUAAUACUGUUGACCUAGAGAGUAGUUGCGGUAGGCGGAAUGUAUGGUGUAGCGGUGAAAUGCUUAGAGAUCAUACAGAACACCGAUUGCGAAGGCAGCUUACCAAACUAUAUCUGACGUUGAGGCACGAAAGCGUGGGUAGCAAACAGGAUUAGAUACCCUUGUAGUC
Molecule: ribosomal RNA, 460 nt
Filed under: uncultured bacterium
Lineage: Bacteria
Description: partial 16S ribosomal RNA
Rfam family: Bacterial small subunit ribosomal RNA
Source: RNAcentral